This 2906-nucleotide ribosomal RNA is filed under the name Campylobacter coli. Its description in RNAcentral is "bacterial LSU rRNA". It matches the Rfam family "Bacterial large subunit ribosomal RNA". Lineage: Bacteria; Pseudomonadati; Campylobacterota; Epsilonproteobacteria; Campylobacterales; Campylobacteraceae. The record is from RNAcentral.
GUAAGCUACUAAGAGCGAAUGGUGGAUGCCUUGACUGGUAAAGGCGAUGAAGGACGUACUAGACUGCGAUAAGCUACGGGGAGCUGUCAAGAAGCUUUGAUCCGUAGAUUUCCGAAUGGGGCAACCCAAUGUAUAGAGAUAUACAUUACCUAUAUAGGAGCGAACGAGGGGAAUUGAAACAUCUUAGUACCCUCAGGAAAAGAAAUCAAUAGAGAUUGCGUCAGUAGCGGCGAGCGAAAGCGCAAGAGGGCAAACCCAGUGCUUGCACUGGGGGUUGUAGGACUGCAAUGUGCAAGAGGUGAGUUUAGCAGAACAUUCUGGAAAGUAUAGCCAUAGAGGGUGAUAGUCCCGUAUGCGAAAAACAAACCUUAGCUAGCAGUAUCCUGAGUAGGGCGGGACACGAGAAAUCCUGUCUGAAGCCGGGUCGACCACGAUCCAACCCUAAAUACUAAUACCAGAUCGAUAGUGCACAAGUACCGUGAGGGAAAGGUGAAAAGAACUGAGGUGAUCAGAGUGAAAUAGAACCUGAAACCAUUUGCUUACAAUCAUUCAGAGCACUAUGUAGCAAUACAGUGUGAUGGACUGCCUUUUGCAUAAUGAGCCUGCGAGUUGUGGUGUCUGGCAAGGUUAAGCAAACGCGAAGCCGUAGCGAAAGCGAGUCUGAAUAGGGCGCUUAGUCAGAUGCUGCAGACCCGAAACGAAGUGAUCUAUCCAUGAGCAAGUUGAAGCUAGUGUAAGAACUAGUGGAGGACUGAACCCAUAGGCGUUGAAAAGCCCCGGGAUGACUUGUGGAUAGGGGUGAAAGGCCAAUCAAACUUCGUGAUAGCUGGUUCUCUCCGAAAUAUAUUUAGGUAUAGCGUUGUGUCGUAAUAUAAGGGGGUAGAGCACUGAAUGGGCUAGGGCAUACACCAAUGUACCAAACCCUAUCAAACUCCGAAUACCUUAUAUGUAAUCACAGCAGUCAGGCGGCGAGUGAUAAAAUCCGUCGUCAAGAGGGAAACAACCCAGACUACCAGCUAAGGUCCCUAAAUCUUACUUAAGUGGAAAACGAUGUGAAGUUACUUAAACAACCAGGAGGUUGGCUUAGAAGCAGCCAUCCUUUAAAGAAAGCGUAAUAGCUCACUGGUCUAGUGAUUUUGCGCGGAAAAUAUAACGGGGCUAAAGUAAGUACCGAAGCUGUAGACUUGACUUUGUCAAGUGGUAGGAGAGCGUUCUAUUUGCGUCGAAGGUAUACCGGUAAGGAGUGCUGGAGCGAAUAGAAGUGAGCAUGCAGGCAUGAGUAGCGAUAAUUAAUGUGAGAAUCAUUAACGCCGUAAACCCAAGGUUUCCUACGCGAUGCUCGUCAUCGUAGGGUUAGUCGGGUCCUAAGUCGAGUCCGAAAGGGGUAGACGAUGGCAAAUUGGUUAAUAUUCCAAUACCAACAUUAGUGUGCGAUGGAAGGACGCUUAGGGCUAAGGGGGCUAGCGGAUGGAAGUGCUAGUCUAAGGUCGUAGGUGCUUAUACAGGCAAAUCCGUAUAAGAAUACACCGAGAACUGAAAGGCUUUUUGAAGUCUUCGGAUGGAUAGAAGAACCCCUGAUGCCGUCGAGCCAAGAAAAGUUUCUAAGUUUAGCUAAUGUUGCCCGUACCGUAAACCGACACAGGUGGGUGGGAUGAGUAUUCUAAGGCGCGUGGAAGAACUCUCUUUAAGGAACUCUGCAAAAUAGCACCGUAUCUUCGGUAUAAGGUGUGGUUCGCUUCGUAUUAGGAUUUACUCCGAAAGCGAAGAAACUUACAACAAAGAGUCCCUCCCGACUGUUUACCAAAAACACAGCACUCUGCUAACUCGUAAGAGGAUGUAUAGGGUGUGACGCCUGCCCGGUGCUCGAAGGUUAAUUGAUGGGGUUAGCAUUAGCGAAGCUCUUGAUCGAAGCCCGAGUAAACGGCGGCCGUAACUAUAACGGUCCUAAGGUAGCGAAAUUCCUUGUCGGUUAAAUACCGACCUGCAUGAAUGGCGUAACGAGAUGGGAGCUGUCUCAAAGAGGGAUCCAGUGAAAUUGUAGUGGAGGUGAAAAUUCCUCCUACCCGCGGCAAGACGGAAAGACCCCGUGGACCUUUACUACAGCUUGACACUGCUACUUGGAUAAGAAUGUGCAGGAUAGGUGGGAGGCUUUGAGUAUAUGACGCCAGUUGUAUAUGAGCCAUUGUUGAGAUACCACUCUUUCUUAUUUGGGUAGCUAACCAGCUUGAGUUAUCCUCAAGUGGGACAAUGUCUGGUGGGUAGUUUGACUGGGGCGGUCGCCUCCCAAAUAAUAACGGAGGCUUACAAAGGUUGGCUCAGAACGGUUGGAAAUCGUUCGUAGAGUAUAAAGGUAUAAGCCAGCUUAACUGCAAGACAUACAAGUCAAGCAGAGACGAAAGUCGGUCUUAGUGAUCCGGUGGUUCUGUGUGGAAGGGCCAUCGCUCAAAGGAUAAAAGGUACCCCGGGGAUAACAGGCUGAUCUCCCCCAAGAGCUCACAUCGACGGGGAGGUUUGGCACCUCGAUGUCGGCUCAUCGCAUCCUGGGGCUGGAGCAGGUCCCAAGGGUAUGGCUGUUCGCCAUUUAAAGCGGUACGCGAGCUGGGUUCAGAACGUCGUGAGACAGUUCGGUCCCUAUCUGCCGUGGGCGUAAGAAGAUUGAAGAGAUUUGACCCUAGUACGAGAGGACCGGGUUGAACAAACCACUGGUGUAGCUGUUGUUCUGCCAAGAGCAUCGCAGCGUAGCUAAGUUUGGAAAGGAUAAACGCUGAAAGCAUCUAAGCGUGAAGCCAACUCUAAGAUGAAUCUUCUCUAAGCUCUCUAGAAGACUACUAGUUUGAUAGGCUGGGUGUGUAAUGGAUGAAAGUCCUUUAGCUGACCAGUACUAAUAGAGCGUUUGGCUUAUCUUU